This 377-nucleotide ribosomal RNA is filed under the name uncultured eukaryote. RNAcentral's name for it is "SSU rRNA". It matches the Rfam family "Eukaryotic small subunit ribosomal RNA", at positions 587 to 972 of the family's 1831-position model. The record is from RNAcentral.
AGCUCCAAUAGCGUAUAUUAAAGUUGUUGCAGUUAAAAAGCUCGUAGUUGAAUCUGUGGCGGCAUGUGUGGUCCAGAAUGUUUUGGUGCUGCAUGUUGUUGUCAUGUUUGGGUGGAAACUGUGGGGCAUUAGUUUGUUUUGCAGGGGAAGUCCAUCGUUUACUGUGAAAAAAUUAGAGUGUUAAAAGCAGGCUUAAGCCGUUGAAUAUGUUAGCAUGGAAUAAUGAGAUAGGACUUGGGUGCUAUUUUGUUGGUUUGCGCACCAAAGUAAUGAUGAAUAGGGACAGUUGGGGGUAUUCGUAUUCCAUUGUCAGAGGUGAAAUUCUUGGAUUUUUGGAAGACGAACUACUGCGAAAGCAUUUACCAAGGAUGUUUUCA